AGAGUUUGAUCCUGGCUCAGGAUGAACGCUAGCGAUAGGCCUAACACAUGCAAGUCAGGGGCAUCACAUGAGGUAGCAAUACUGAUGGUGGCGACCGGCGCACGGGUGAGUAACACGUAUGGCAACCUGCCUUCAACAAGGGCAUAACCCGUUGAAAGACGGACUAAUUCCCUAUGACACAGGGGUCCCGCAUGGGGAUAUUUGUUAAAGAUUAAUCGGUUGGAGAUGGGCAUGCGUUCCAUUAGCUUGUUGGCGGGUAACGGCCCACCAAGGCAACGAUGGAUAGGGGAACUGAGAGGUUUAUCCCCCACACUGGUACUGAGACACGGACCAGACUCCUACGGGAGGCAGCAGUGAGGAAUAUUGGUCAAUGGGCGCAAGCCUGAACCAGCCACGUCGCCGUGAAGGAAGACGGCCCUACGGGUUGUAAACUUCUUUUGCAAGGGAAUAAAGUUGGCCACGCGUGGCCUUUUGCAUGUACCUUGCGAAUAAGGAUCGGCUAACUCCGUGCCAGCAGCGGC
Molecule: ribosomal RNA, 521 nt
Filed under: uncultured bacterium
Lineage: Bacteria
Description: bacterial SSU rRNA
Rfam family: Bacterial small subunit ribosomal RNA
Source: RNAcentral